Molecule: transfer RNA, 71 nt
Filed under: Cordylochernes scorpioides
Lineage: Eukaryota; Metazoa; Arthropoda; Arachnida; Pseudoscorpiones; Chernetidae
Description: tRNA-Gly
Source: RNAcentral
UGCUUCGGCCGGGAAUCGAACCCGGGCCGCCCGCGUGGCAGGAGAGCAUUCUACCACUGAACCACCUAUGC